AAAAGGACUAUGACUGUUGAGGAUUCUUCACGUUGCAUUCGAUGAGUAUAUCAAGGCUCCAAAUACGUUAGAACAUGUCAAGGACUUUACUGAAGAGGAUGAAAAUUCAGCAGGAGAAGAGGAAGUGCACAAAGAAAUGACUGAUAAAGAAAAUAGUGAUGAGCAAGUCGACUCUCCCAUAACAGAAUCGACUAAGGAGUGAAGAGUGCCAAAGAACGUCUCCACUGACAACAUAAUUGGUGACACAUCUCAAGAGGAG
This 259-nucleotide long non-coding RNA is filed under the name Vigna radiata. RNAcentral describes it as "long non-coding RNA (VRAD_LNC000463)". The record is from RNAcentral. Lineage: Eukaryota; Viridiplantae; Streptophyta; Magnoliopsida; Fabales; Fabaceae.